UGGAGGAUAUUGCACAAUGGGCGAAAGCCUGAUGCAGCGACGCCGCGUGGGGGAUGAAGGCUUUCGGGUUGUAAACCUCUUUCGCUAUCGAACAAGGCCCGCUUAGGGUGGGUUGAGGGUAGGUGGAGAAGAAGCGCCGGCUAACUACGUGCCAGCAGCCGCGGUAAUACGUAGGGCGCGAGCGUUGUCCGGAAUUAUUGGGCGUAAAGGGCUUGUAGGCGGCUUGUUGCGCCUGCUGUGAAAACGCGGGGCUUAACUUCGCGCGUGCAGUGGGUACGGGCAGGCUUGAGUGUGGUAGGGGUGACUGGAAUUCCAGGUGUAGCGGUGGAAUGCGCAGAUAUCUGGAGGAACACCGAUGGCGAAGGCAGGUCACUGGGCCAUUACUGACGCUGAGGAGCGAAAGCAUGGGUAGCGAACAGG
This 420-nucleotide ribosomal RNA is filed under the name bacterium. RNAcentral's name for it is "partial 16S ribosomal RNA". It matches the Rfam family "Bacterial small subunit ribosomal RNA", at positions 355 to 776 of the family's 1533-position model. The record is from RNAcentral.